RNAcentral lists this unclassified non-coding RNA (172 nucleotides) under Aspergillus sp. YM3. RNAcentral describes it as "ITS2". Lineage: Eukaryota; Fungi; Ascomycota; Eurotiomycetes; Eurotiales; Aspergillaceae. The record is from RNAcentral.
CUGCCCAUCAAGCACGGCUUGUGUGUUGGGUCGUCGUCCCCCCCUCCGGGGGGGGACGGGCCCUAAAGGCAGCGGCGGCACCGCGUCCGAUCCUCGAGCGUAUGGGGCUUUGUCACCCGCUCUGUAGGCCCGGCCGGCGCUUGCCGAACGCAAAACAACCAUUCUUUCCAGG